UUCACUGCUCGCCUCAGGUGGUCAUUCAGAGGUUCAGGCUGUGAUUCAGCAGCCCCAUACAAUAUGGAACACAAAAACGAGUUCAGCACCAAAGGGAACCAAAAAUGCACAGAAAUUUCCGUUGUUUAUGGUCUUAUGGGGAGACAGAUCCAAGGACAAAACUCAAUCACUUUAUACCUUCAUUUUGCAAUUUUACACAGGGGCUAACCAAACAAGACACCAAAAAUGUGAGUAGAGGCACUUAAAGACACAAACACAAAGUGUUUCCUUAUAAUUAUCUUUUCUAAGCAUAUCAUGCUGUCUCUGUAAUAUGUAAAACCAAUGACUGUUCCCCAGGGAGCCUACAUCUUUGUCCAGUGACUUCUAUUGCCUGGCUCCUUUUUAACAGUUCUGCAUGCAUCUCAACUUAAGGUAUUUGCCUCAGCUUUCAUUAUGUCAGCUGUACAAAAGCAUUCAGAAUUUGACCAGUUCAACUACCACUCUUAGUUUAUAGAGCUAGUAGUUACUCUCCUAAUGGAAUAUGAUGUCUACUUUCCAAUUCACAAUGCCAUGAUUGAAAGAAGAGUUCCCAAAGAGUGGAACCUAACCUACAAAUGGACAUUAUGGGAGGGAGAUAGAAUGAUAGAACUAUUAAGAUUGGAAAAGGCCUCUAAGAUCAUUAUGUCCAACUAUCACCACUGCGCCCAGUAAACCAUGCCCUAAGUGCCACAUCUACCCCUUUCCUGAAAGCCUUCAGUGACAGUGACUCUACCUCUUCCCUGAUCACCCUAUUCCAAUGUUUGACCACUCAGAGAAUUAUUUUUUUCAUAACAUAUGGCCUGAACCUCUCCUGCCACAAAUUUAGCACAAAUUCUUCUUGUCGUAUUACUAAUUACCAGAGGGAAGAGACCUAUCCCCCCCACAUUACAGCCUCCUUUCAGGUAGCUCUAUAGAGCAGUAAGGUCUCUUCUGAGCCUUCUCUUCUCCAGACUCAAACCUCAAUCCCAGCUGCUCCUCAUAAGUCUUGUGUUCCAGACUCCUCACCAGCUGUGCUGCCCUUCAGAAAAGCACUAGGGCUUCAGCUUCACUCUCGUAGAGGGGGGUCCAAAACUAACACAACACUCGAGGUAUGGCCUCACCAGUACCAAGUACAGAGGGAUGGUUACCUCCCUAGUCCUGCUGACUACACUAUUUCUGACACAAGCCAGGAUGUCAUUGGCCUUCUUGGCCAUCUGGGCAGACUGCUGUUCAGCCACCUGCCAACUAAUACCUCCAGAUCCUUUUCUUCUGUGCAGCCUCCCAAUCACAAAAGCCUGUACUGAUGCAUGACAAACCAAAACUACUACUACACUUGAAAUAGAAGGAAGAAAAAAAUUUUAACGUAGCAGCAACUAUAAAACACAAGGGAUCGCAGUGCCUGUCUGUGCAAUACCAAAUCGCAGUGUAGUACGUGCCAAGACAACUGUAGAAGACAAAAAAAAAUACAGAAGACAAAAAUUACCACAGAUAUCUUUACUGCAGGGAUGGAGAGAGUUUUCAAAAUUUAAGCACAUUUUUGGUGCUCAUAUUUCCUAUUGUCAUGUGCAGGGCAAAAAAAAAAAAAAAAGAAACUUUACAAUUCAGUAUUCACAGUACAGAGAUCUGAAAAGUUGCUUUCUGCAGAGAUGAAGAUACUACGAAGUGGUCUGAAGCACAGGCAUGAGAUCCUUCUAGAUCCACCCAAGAACCUAGGAAAGACCAUAACUUUGUAGGCUGAGCUUCGGAACCAUUCAUUUGUGCUCCCAACCCUUCUGAUUAUUGCACUAAAAUAGCUACCUAGCACUGAUUUGUUUUAUGUUGGCCUGAGGAGGCUUUUUUGAUAGAACAGCCAUUUAAACAACAGGAACUUAGAAAUGGGGACAUUUCUUAAAAGGAUUCCCAAUUGACACAGCCGUGCCGCUCCAAUCUUACAACAUUACAGUUGCAGCAAGACAAACUUCUGAUAUUAACUCCUCCUUCCAUCUGUCGGAACUCGCUUUAAUUCCUUUCCUUUUACCACCUGUUUUAUAAGUCUGAAGAGUUCACUCAAAAUUUUAUCAAGAACCAGAAACCUUCCUUGCAAUAAAAUUGAGAUUAAUGUCUCAUUUAGCUUUACAGAAAUACUGAAUUAUUCUAACACUCCUGAUAAACUGAACAGUAUAGUUAAGUAUACCAACUUUUUCAAACUAUAACAAGAUGUUCUCUAGAACUGCAGAAAGUACCGAUGUGCAAGGGAUAUUUGCUUGUUUGCCGACGUCAGCAAAAUUCUUACAGAGUAGCUCACAUAUGUAAAAUUUAGUCUCACUUAUCUUCUUGCUCUCUCAUUAUCCCAAAAGCAGCAGCACUGAAAUAAACUAGGGAAAGUGUUUUUGAUUCUUCACUAUGGAGAAGGGAAUUAAGCCUAAAAUAAGGUAAGUUACCACAUACUCAAAUCUGUAAUGCAGUAAUAGACUUUCUCUUUCAAGUUCUACCAAGCUUCUGUCUAUUUUGGGUCAUUCAUAUGCCUGCUGCAAUAGCAGGAUAAAGUACAGUGCUAGCGUGACUGCAAGACUUAGACUUUGAUAACUGUUCUUUCCAAGGCUUUCCCCGUCUAAUAUUACUGUAGCAAUUGUAACAUCUUCAGUGGAGAAGAGAGGUCUGAGAAAAGGAGACUUCGAUGAGUUUUUAAGGUUCUGUUUAAAGCAAUCCACAUAAAAAGUUACAAAACAACUUGAAACACACCGAAGACUUCGUUUUGAAAACAGAUUGUUGGGUUCAUAACUUCACAGAAUAUCUGAAGUUAUCAGGUUUAAUGUUGAUUAUGAGUGCUAGGAGAGAACUAGAGAGUAGCAAAUGUCAACAGAUACACAUGUUACAGUUAGCAUCUUAACAAGCUUCAGGACAGAUUUUUAGUCACGUUAAAAUAACGUAUCUGGGUGACUAUAUCCAAGAAGGCCAACCAGUCUAGCCUAUUAGAAGAGAAUCCCUACUAUUGGUUCUGCAAGAAGGCAAAUGUUACCCUCUACAAUUCAUUCAUGUUUUUGUCUGGGGACAGAUGCACAGACAUGUACACAUGCACACGCACACACUUCUACUAUUUAACCAGAUUACACAAAAAUUGUUCCCCAAAGGAAACAAAAACAAAUUUUAUUGUUUGUAAAUGUGGCUACAGAACCCUCAAAUGUGCACACCACACAACUUUAACUCCUGUGCUCUGAGGAAUUCUACAAACUAUUGUUCUGUGAUUUGUAGCUAUAGAAAUGGAGCUAAGAUUCUGCAAUGGUAUAUCUGAAAAUAAACUAAAGAAAGGGAAUGCCAGCGUCCAAGUGAAGGUUAUAUUCUUUUCCUUAGAUAAGGUCCCAGGAUGAGGUUUAAUCAGCAGCACAAGUAUCUUAGUGCUGUUCUGCUCAGGUACUUCCAGCAGCAGAGGUUACUGAGCAGAGGUUGAUUCUGCCAUCAGACUCAGCCCAUUCAACCUUGUUUACCAUUUUGAUGAAUUUUCAGCAUCUUGAUGAAAUUGCUGAAAGGUCAGAAAUGCUAAACAGACACUAAUUACAUUACUUUCUGGUUUUUUUUACUUUUGCAUCUCUCCCUCUACUUAGCACAAAUCUUUAUAUUUCCACUAGUGACCGUGCCUGCAUUUUAAAUCAUCCUCCUUUGCUCAAUUUGUAAUUUUUUUCUCUUCAUUCUUUUUUUUUCAGAUUAUCAGAUUUCAUUCUUCAUUUAUAUUCAUUUAAAUUCAUACAUAAUUUCAUUAACCUUCUAUUUUUGCAGUAAGGUUAACUCUUGUUUAGUCUGGGUUGCGUUUUCUGUAGAAAAAUAAUGCCUUACAAAAACCUAUCUGCUAGUGUUCAGAGGAACAAAACUAGAAAAAGUAGCUAAUAGAUUCAGAACUUCUCUGAAUACUAAUAUCCUUUUUUAGGGCAAGUCUUUAUCAAUGGCCUAAAUUAUUUGCCCACAUUUUGAAGACAUUCUGAUUUUGAAGGAUUUAUGCUCCCUCUCUUUGGACUUCAGUAUCCACAGUGCUGCAGGAAGAGAGCUAUAUAACACUGCCAGUGGUGCCCAGUAACACCAUUCAAAUCAUCCUACUUUCUGAAGCUGCACUGAGCAUUUUGAUGUAAGAGUUUUCAACUCCCGUCUCAACCUUACCACUGAUCAGCUUUCUUCCUGAUGGAUAGAUGUGACAAAUGCCACCUGCCUCAAAAAACGAAACAUUCAUUAUUUCUAAAUAAUCAUCUUGAACAGCUAAAGUCAGUACAGUUAUUGAAGUUUUAUGGUGAGAUAAAGAUUCCCACAGCAUUUUUGUCUGUUACCUAUUAUAACCUAACUAUUAUAAAAUGUUUAACAAUACCAGAAAGCGAAUUGUCAGAGAAGAGGAUAUAAAUGGUAUGUGCUCAUUUUGAAAAGUACCUCUCAGUGGCAUCAGAACUUUUAAAUCAGAAUUUUUAAAUAUGCCUAUUAUGGAGCAACUUCAUGCAGGUUUCUCAGACUUUCCUGAUUCAGCAUCUGCUGUUCAUUUAUUCCAGAAGCGAUCCAGGUUCCUGUAACACUGUCAUGGUUCUGUGAUUUUGGUAUGGGCACUCGCAUCAUAGCAUCACGUAGUACCGGGAGUUACAGAGUUAAUGCGCCUGUUCCAUGGAGUGUUGAUAUUCCUGGGUAUCUGGUUCUCAGAAGAGAACCACUACAUAUCCCAGAAGACGUUAACUGUUCCGUUUCCAUUUUCUGUUUAGAGGGAAAGAUAAAACUGUUCACAAAUCACGACUUCUUUUACUCCUUGUCUCUGCGGCGUGCGCUCCGUACCCAUCUCACCUUCAGGAUUACACGCAAACUACAACAAAGAAACACAGCUUUCAGCAUCAAGAACGCAGAAGAGAAAAAAAGUUUUUGCCAGGUCUGGAUUCAAACUUAACAUUGUACUUAGGUGGUAAGAAGGAUGCAUAUCAACAGCACAAUUCUUCCUUUCACAGACCAGCUAAAAAUCUGGCCUCUGCUUCUCUCCUUCCUCCUAUCAGCCCUGGAAUGUACCUUGGCAAGGCUCAAUUAAUCAUUCCUUUCCUGGUCAAAUGGGUUCCUUCUCGAUUCCCAACUUACUACCUCUCUUCCAGGAUAAAGGAGGUGUAACUAUGAAAAUCCCAAAGAAUAUGUUUAAUAUAGCUGAAGUCCUCUGACUGACCUCUGUGUUAUUGAAAAUUAUACCAUUUUCUUCAUGUUCAAUUUGUAAAAUAGCAUUAAAUAGCACACCGAGUGAAAUCCACCAAUGCUUGUAUGUCGCAUCGACCAAACCUGGCAUCCAAUUACAAAUACACCUGAGAGAACAGAAGCUUUUUGUCUCUCAUUGCUUUCUUCUGGAUUAUGAUUUAACAUAAUCCUAAUGUUGUGCUGCUCCUCCUCUAGUGUGAAGGGAAUUAAGGACUGCUGUAUUUUCACCAAACUCACAGAGAGUACAGUGACGCACAGCAGAGAUGUACAAAAACCAGCAGGCAGAGAUUCACUUGUUCUGAGUUGAGAAAAGUUGGGAGAUGAAAAAAGGUUCAGGGUUGAGCCUGCUUGCACAGAUACCAAUCAGUACUGUGAAAUCUCUUGCUGGACAAACAGGUGAUUUUUCAUCAAAUCUAAUACAGGUGCAAUUGAAGAAUGCAGAUGGCUUCGGAUGUUUUAGAUUUUUUCUUUAAUUCUCUGUUCCAAAAGACUGUGCGUAAACAUUACAUAUUUACUUCUUUGGCAUUUUUAAAGGUAUAAGCUUACAUAAUUUUGACAUGACUCUCAGCAGUCAAAAUUGCGUAUUUCAGAAGUAUUCCAGACAUCAGCUUGCAAGCAGUUCAAGAAGUUAGGAGUAAGUUACUCUUCCUGUCGUAACUCACACAGUAUAGUUACAACUGCUGAAGAGGAAGGAAUUAGCUUUUUAUUCUCACUAAAAAUUCAAAUCUUAUGGAACAGGAUAUCAUUUUGAAGAAAAAAAAAACUAGCUAUAAAAAUUAAUUAGAAACUGAACAGAACUUGUUUAUUCCCUCUGAUUUAUGAACAUAUUAUAUUUUAGAAUCCUUUUCUUUUUUCUCUUAACACAAAUCAACCUCUAAGAACCAGAAUAGCCAACCUUUAGUAAACAGUCCUAGUUCCACUGAAACUUUUUCAGGAUCUCCACAAUCAGUUUCAGACAUAUAUAUUUUAGCUUCCCAUAGCAACUCAUGUGAAUAUCACAACAAGCAAUGCCACAGUAAGUGUGCACAUAACAGCAGUGGGAGAGAAAACAGGAGAAAGAAUGCAGCAGUUGGAGCUCUUGACCUUUGUUAUUCUCUGACAAAAGUGUCAUAACCAGCCCUUAGACCUAACUAAAGCACGUAGAAGACUUUUGUUCUUUUUCCAUUCACCUAUCACUGCUACAGGGUUUAUUUGAAGCAGGCUACAUCACAUAUCAACAAGGAUCUCACUCUUUAUUACAGUCUUCAGUGGCCCUGUACCUCCGUAAUAAUCCUGAUCUGAUUUCUUGUUUUUGUAAUUAGCAUUAAUUAUGGUAGCUUAAUCAUUAGCUGAAAUGUUAGAAAACAUAUUCUGAAAUAUCUGUCAGGAUUAAUUUUUCUUCAUUCACUUCUGCAGGAACCAGCUUUUCUUAGAUGUCAUUUGCUCCAUUUUUAAGCUGUCACUUUCUAGUACUACCAGAAGGAAGAUCACUGGAACUAACUGUCAAUGCACAAACCCCCACUGCUAUGUUUUGCUGGAAUUUGAUGGGAGGAGAACAAACAAGUACAAACUAUGAUUUUUUUAUCUUGCAAUGAGAGGCCAUAGAGAGUAUAAAAUAGUUAUUCAUGUGGCUAUGCUUGGUUACUGGACUUCAGAGAGGUUCUGCCUUUGUGCCGAGCCCCAGCUCGUCAGUCACCAGCAGCUGCUACUACUGCACCCACCCAGCAUUGGGGCAGUCACUGUUCUCUCUCUUAUAGGGAGAGCAGGAUACUCCCAACCAGCUUCUGUUUCCCAGCACUGAAAACUUUUGCCACCAGCAAGGCAACCACAGAUACUCAGGGAUAUCCAGACAAGAAACUAAGACAAGCUGCACAGACUUUCAGUCAUGGGGAACUCCACAAUCUGCAAGUUCACCAAGUGUCUGAGGGCAGACUGAGAGGGGAGGGCUAUCAUGGGUGCAGACAUGCUCAUCUUACAAAAUUUUUGAGCAGGUGGCCAGGCUGCAAGAAGAAAUUAUCAGGCUGAGAACUAUCCAGCAAUCAGAGAGAGAAAUCAGUGCAUGCUAUUGUGCAGUGACACUGUCUGAUUGACAGCCCCUCCAAGGGGAAUAAGCUAAGUAAGCUUACAACCCCGAGGAGACAAGACAUCAAAAAUAUGCAAGAUGAGGAAGCUGGAGCCUUGUCUCUGCUUGGAGCAGAAAGGAGAGCCUCCCCUGAAGUCUCCCUCACCAACAGAUAAAAAGAGAAAAGGGGUUUGGGUAAUGGUUCUGACCUGGAAAGGGACAACUACAUCAAGAUGAUCCAACCAGUGAUGAUCUCCUCAUGCUUGGAAACUAGGAAUGAAGCAGGAAGAGGAGAAUGAACCAGCUGAAUGAAUGGCUGUGUGGAUGGUGUCAUGCUCGGGGUUUUGGAUUCUACAAUCUUGGAUGCAGGUUCAAUAGACUGGGCAUACUGAUGUUGGAUGGGAUGGAACUGAGCAUGAGGGGCAAGAACAUGCUGGGCAUCAAGUAGGCUGAACUGAUCACCGGAGCUUUAAACUAGAUUUGAUGAGAGAAGGGGGUGAACAACAAGGAAACAUUGGCUUUUUACUUUAGGAAGCAGCAGAGGAAAACACAGCUGAAGUCCAUCAGCUGAUAGCCCAGCUGAAGUCCAGCUACACCAGUGCACACAACAUGGGAAAUAAUAACCAGGAGAAGAUGAAAACCAUGGUGCAAUUAGAAAACUGUGACCUAAUUACUAUCACAGAAACAUGAUGGGAUGAAUCACACAAUUAGAAUGCUACAGUUGAGGGCUACAAGCUUGUUAGAAGAGACGGGCAGGGCAGAAGGGGCAACCCCCCGGUUGUCCUCUGUAUUAGGAAGUAGAUAGACUGAAAAGAGCUGCCUCUAGUCAACAGUCAAAAAUAGGUUGAGAGCUUGUGGGUUAAAAUCAGGGACCAGACAAAUAAAGGGCAUCUGGUGGUCAGGAUUUCCUAUAGACUGCUUGAUUAGGGGAGGCUGUGGAUAAGAUCUUCUUGCUUCAGCUAUAACAGGUGUUGUGCUUACAGGCUCUCAUCCUAGUGGGGGAUUUCAACCACUCAUAGGUCUGCUGGGAAAGAAAACAUGGCAGGCUGUAAGCAAUCCAAAAGACUCCUACCAUUCUUUGAGGAUAACUUCCUGGUCCAGGUGUUGAAUAGACCAACCAGAGGUAAAAUGUUACUGGACCUGGUGUUUAUCAACGCAGAGAUCAUUGGAGGCAGUCUGGACUGUGGUUACCAUGCCCUGAUCAAGUUCACGAUCUCAAGGAAUGUGGACCUAACAAAGCUCAGAGUCAGGACUCCGAGCUUCAGGAGAGCAAACUUCAAACUGUUUAAGGAAUUAUUGGGUGAGGCCCCCAGAAAAAUAGUCCUCAGGAACAAAGGAACAGAACAGUGAAUGCAGCACUUAAGGACACUUUUCCAAAAACAGAAUUGCUCUCCAUCCACCAACAUAAGAAAUCAAGCAGAGCAAGCAGGAAAAUGGUAUGGCUGAGCAAAGACCUGCUGAUCAAACUGAGGUAUAAGAAGGAAAUGCAUGGGGGGUGAAAGCAGGGACACUAGGAAGAACGCAGGAAUGCCCUCUAAACAUGCAGAGAUGGGGUCGGGAAAGCAAAGGUGCAGAUGGAAGUGAACUCAGCAAGGGAUGUGAAAAAUAACAAGAAUGGAUUCUACAGGUGCAAUGGUCAGAAGAGACAGACCAAAGAGAGUGUACUCCCUCUAAAGGGAGAACUGACUUCUACAGACAUGGAGAAGAAUGAGGUACUAACAAAUUCUCAAUCUCCACUGGUAGUCAGGCUUCCCACACCUCUUGUGUCCCUGAACAUAUGGGCAGAGGCCAGGGGAGCAAAAUCCCUCCCACUCUAAGAGCAGAGCCAGUCAGAUAUUGCCUUAUGAGACUGAACGUGUACAAGUAAAUGGGGCUGAACAACACACAUCCCUGGUUCCUGAAGGAGCUGCCUGAUGUGGUUGCCAAGCCACUCUCCAUCAUAUUUGAAAAUUUGUGGCUGCCAGGGAAGGUCUCUGGUGACAGGAAAAAUUGAAAUAUCACUCCUAUUUUUAAGAAAGGGAGAAAGGAAGUCCCAGGUAACUACAGGCCAGUGAGCCUCACAUUAGUGCCUGUGAAUAUCAUGAAACGGUUGCUCCUGGAAGACUAUUGCACAUGCAAGUUGAGGAGGGGGAUCCAAAACAGCCAGCAUGGCCUGACCAAUCUGGUGGCCUUCUAUAAUGGAGUAAUGGUAUACGUGGAUAAAGGAAGGGUAGCUAAUUUCAUCAAUCUAGACCUGUGCAAGGUCUUUGACAUGGUCCCACACCACAUCCUUACCUCUGAAUUGGAGAGAGAUGGAUCUGAAGGCUGGACUGCUCAGUGGAUAAAGAACUGGUUACGAGGUAGCAGCCAGAGAGUUGUGGUCAAGGGUACAGAGUCCAGUGAAGGUUGGUCAUGAGUGGUAUCCCCCAGGGGUCCAUCUUGGGACCAGUGCUCUUCAACAUCUUUAUCAGUAAUGAUAAUGGGACUGAGUGCUCCCUCAGCAUGUUUUCUCUGAGUGGUGCAGCUGAUAAAAUAGAAGAAAGAGAUACCACCCCCUGAGACCUGGGCAGGCUUGAAAAGUGGUCCCAUGUGAACCAAAUGACAACAAGGCCAACUACAAGGUGUUGCACCUUGGGUGGAGGCAAUCCUAGAUAUUUGUUCAAA
Long non-coding RNA from Meleagris gallopavo (turkey), 9859 nucleotides. RefSeq lists it as uncharacterized. The record is from RefSeq and is a predicted model, not a curated record. Lineage: Eukaryota; Metazoa; Chordata; Aves; Galliformes; Phasianidae.